UGGAGGUGCAGCUGCGGGCCC
Molecule: unclassified non-coding RNA, 21 nt
Filed under: Chlamydomonas reinhardtii
Lineage: Eukaryota; Viridiplantae; Chlorophyta; Chlorophyceae; Chlamydomonadales; Chlamydomonadaceae
Description: small RNA Cre_3266
Source: RNAcentral